GCUCAUUCUAAAAAAAAAAAAACUCUAUGCUACAAAAUAAUAGUUUGCCACAGUUCGAUUGAAAUCAAAUUCUGAAAUAAAAGCAAAAUCAAAAUUAAUGAAAAUAUGAUAGAUCAAAGUCGAACUAAACUCAACUAGUUCAAUCGGAUUCCCACUCAAAAUCAAAUUUUUUUUUUUGCUUUGCAAAAAUUAAAAAUUUUAAAAAAAUUUCAGCCAUUAGAUUUAAUUAAAAUUGGUAUCGAAUUGAAUCUGAAACCAAAAAUAAGAGAUAGAGAAUCAUGCACAUUGAUUUUGAUUUCUUAAAUUAAAAUGGCUAAUUCCGGUAUAGAUCUAUCUGGUAUAGACCUAUCCGGCGCCCACCCUUAGUCACAAGGUCCCUCACAGGGGUCUAGGAUCCACUAAGAUAGAUAAUGAGAUAUCCCUUUAUCUA
This 430-nucleotide unclassified non-coding RNA is filed under the name Hevea brasiliensis (rubber tree). Lineage: Eukaryota; Viridiplantae; Streptophyta; Magnoliopsida; Malpighiales; Euphorbiaceae. The record is from RNAcentral.